UGAUGAGAAAUCUCCGGAAUCGCUGUACCACAUUGAUGAUUCCCUUGAACCCUUCUAUAUCUGAUGACUGCUGUCAUUCCGC
Small nucleolar RNA from Pelecanus crispus (Dalmatian pelican), 82 nucleotides. It matches the Rfam family "Small nucleolar RNA MBII-202". Rfam says of the family: MBII-202 is a member of the C/D class of snoRNA which contain the C (UGAUGA) and D (CUGA) box motifs. Most of the members of the box C/D family function in directing site-specific 2'-O-methylation of substrate RNAs. Lineage: Eukaryota; Metazoa; Chordata; Aves; Pelecaniformes; Pelecanidae. The record is from Rfam.